GGCAGUACCCCCCACCCGACGCCACUCUCGGACUCUCCAGUCUCCACAGUACACUCUCGGUCUCGGCCUCUCCACCCGGCCCUCGCAGAGUCGACGGGCCAGCAGACGCAGACCCUGUCUGUUCUACCCCCCCAGUCUCCACUCGCACUGACAGACGGCAACCCAUUUCUCGACUUCUCUCGCUCGGCGACGGCAAUCGGCACGACGGCACCCAUUUCCCCUCAUUCCCCAUUUCCCCCAAACCCUGUUCGGCGACGGCAAUCGGCACGCAUUUUGUUCUCACCUCUCAGUUCUCGGCUUCUCGCGCUCAAUUGUCGUUUGUGAUACUUCUUAUGGGAGGAAUUCAGUUCUGGCUCUUUGCUCUGAUAUUCCUAGUUUUCUUGCCGCACAUUUUGAAAGGAAGCAUGCUAGUUGGUCGGCCUUUAAACUUCAAACACUACAUAUGGGUGGCUGCAAGGUGAGUUUUGAUUUACAUAAUAGUCACCGGCUAAUAAACGAGUCAAUCCGAACCCGUUUAACCCGACCCAUUUAUGACCCGCUUGAAUCCGACCCAUUAACCUGUUUUGCCACCCCUGCUGAGCCCUAUUCUCUAUUUGGACUAUCAACUAGUCAGGAGGCCAUUGCAGAAUCCUGGCUUCAUCACUGCAUGACGGUCCUCAAAGGCACAGCAUGAGCACUUGGGUCCUCAUGGAACAGCAGAAGUGUUUGUAUAUUAGAGGAGUUGAUGCCCUUAUAUUUUCAUAUUUGGGUUAGGCGGCAAGAGCCUGUGACAGAUGCUUUCCAAUACUGUUGCAGCUACUAGGCUACCAAGCAUUUGUAAGUUCACGUUGUUGUUCUGUUCCAACAAUAAGUACAUCCCUUGUGGUGCACACAAAUUGUUCACUGAAAUUUGUGAAAGAAAUGUGUUUCAAGUGUUUGACUCAUUAUCAAAGGGUUUUGUGCUUAACGAUUUAUUUGCAAAGAAGAGCUAUCACAGAGAACGGGAAAACCUUUUUGUUAGUGGAACUUCAAAGCAUGGCAAUGCCUACGAAGGAUUAGAGAACUUUUGCCGAAUGAUCGCCUCUGGGAAAAAACCUGCAAAGUUCAUUCUAUGUAGUGCUCUUAAUUCUUGCACCAAAUCCCUAAAUUGGCAUCUAGGCUUGCAAAUUCAUGCUUGUAUAAUUCAAAACGGUUACGAGGAGAAUUUGUAUUUAAGCAGUGCGCUUGUUGAUUUUUAUGCAAAACAUGAUGCACUUGUCAAUGCAAGAACAGUGUUUGAUGGUCUGAAAAGUCAUGAUCAAGUUUCAUGGACCUCGUUCAUAUCUGGGUUCUCGCAAAAUGGACAUGGAAGGGAAGCUGUUUUGUUGUUUAAAGAGAUGCUGUGUACUCAAAUUAGGCCCAACUGCUUCACCUAUGUUAGUGUUAUUAGUGCAUGCACGGGGCUACAAGCAACAUUGGAACAGGUUUUAUUGCUCCACACACAUGUUAUUGUUCUUGGUCUCCAAAAUAACAAUUUUGUCGUAAGCUCUCUGAUUGAUUGUUAUUCAAAAUAUGGGAGAAUAGAUCAAGCUGUACUGCUGUUUGAUGCAACAACAGACAGAGAUAAUAUUAUACUCAAUUCUAUGAUUUCGGGAUAUUCACAUAACCUGUGCAGUGAAGAGGCAUUGAAACUAUUUAUGGAAAUGAAGAGUGCUGGAUUGAGUUCAACUAGUCAUACGUUAACAAGCCUCUUGAAUGCUUGUGGAAGCCUAACAGCAUUGCGACAAGGAAGACAGGUGCACUCUAUUGUCAUUAAAAUGGGUUCAGAUGGCAACGUGUUUGUGGCCAGUGCCUUGAUAGAUAUGUACUCAAAGUGUGGCAGCAUUAAUGAAGCUUGGCUUGUUUUUUAUCAGACAUCACAGAAGAACAGUGUGUUGUGGACUUCAAUGAUCAUGGGGUAUGCACGAAGUGGGAAAGGGUCAGAUGCAUUGCGACUAUUUGAACAUUUGGUGACUGAAGAAGGGUUUAUACCAGAUCAUAUUUGCUAUACGGCUGUACUAACUGCCUGCAAUCAUGCUGGAUAUCUUGACAGAGGGAUAAAAUAUUUUAACCAAAUGAAAAUGAAGUAUGGGUUGGUUCCCCAAAUAGAUCAAUAUGCGUCCUUGAUUGACCUUUAUGCUAGAAAUGGGCAUCUAAGAAAAGCAAAGGAGUUGAUGGAGGAAAUGCCCUAUGAUCCAAAUUUUGUAAUGUGGAGUUCCUUCUUGAGUUCUUGCAGGGUUUAUGGUGAAGUAGAGCUUGGAAAGGAGGCUGCAGAUCAGCUUUUUAACAUGAAGUCAUCUAAUGCUGCUCCAUAUGUGACAAUGGCAAAUCUUUAUGCAGAAGCUGGUUUAUGGGACAAUGUGGCUACGAUUUGGCGAUCAAUGAAACAGAAGGGGAUAAGGAAAAGUGCAGGAUGGAGUUGGGUUGAGGUAGACAAUAGAGUUAAUAUUUUCUCAGCAGGUGAUGCAUCUAACCCUCAAUCACAAGAUAUAUAUGCAGAGUUGGAAAAUCUGAAUUUGGAAAUGAUGGCGGUUGGGUGUAUGCCCAAAGGGACAAAUGAUUUGGAGACUAUUGAUGAUGAAUGCUUGGGGACAGAUGGUUGAUUGAUGUUCGAGCAAUAUUUACUUGUCAGGCAUGGAAGAGGAAGAAAAAUUUCAUCACUGACACUCACAGAAGCAGCUGAGUUACUGGUUCUGACUCUUAAGUCUGAAUGCAUUAACGGUUCUCAUAUCCCAACCAUAUCUAUAUUUGAAACCAUUUGAGCAUGGAAGAGUAAGAGUUACUUGAUCACUAGCACUUGCAGAAGCAACUGAGUUCCUGGUUCUGACUCGUGAGUAUUAGUUGUGGUCCUUGUAUUGCAGCCAUUCAGAUUUGAAAUCAAUUUCAGGUGCUCUCAGUUGCAAGAAAAAAAAAUGACGUGAACAAGGUUUGUUUUCAAUAGGUGGCUUUUAAUUCUCUUAGAUGGAACAUAUCCUUAUUUCUCAGAUUUACUCUCUCUUGAUCAUUAUACCAAAUUUGUUUUGGGUAUUGGUUCUCGAAUCUGCUUUUUGGGAAGACAUUUGGUUGGGUGAUAUUGCGAUUUUCAUCUCUUCUGGUAAUCUCUAUUUUCUUUCCUCGGUGCAUAUGAUUCCAUUUAUUCCUUUUUGAUCCCUAAUAAUGAUAUUACUAUGGGGAUUUCCAUUUUCUUAAAUUUCUUUAUAAUAGGGAAGUGGAGGAGCUCUCUUGCUGAUUCUGAUUGGCCCUCACACCUUCCAUUCACAUCUUAAAAUCAUAGCCCCUCUAUUAUUGACUUUAUUUCUUGUUAUAUCUUGCUGUUAUCCAACUAUUGUCAUGGCAAAAUUUUUGGUAGGAUGUGAAAAUAUGAGAUAUUAAUUGAUUAUUGAAACCCCAUGGAUGCCUAUAGGUAAUAGAAUUGCGUUUGUAAGAUGAGGAAUUAUAUGCACAGCACAAUGCUAAAAUUGUUUGAAAGAAAAAUAAGUUAAAUUUUAUUUUGUUGUAGUUUUAUGGUUAUUUUUAUGGAUUAUUGUUGUUAGCAAAGGAGGCUACCUGUGAAUUGAGUGUCUACCUGUGGAACACUUAGCACAGCUACCCCCUGCCACUUUUCUUCUUUCUUUAGGACACUAGUGUUGAAAAAAGAAUUCAAAAGCUUAACAAGUUCUAUUUUUACAAGUUUUAUUUGUUUCAUUUAUUUCCUUAAUUUAUUUGGGCAUUGCAAUUGUAUCCUCUAUUUAGGGUAUUUGGACUUUGUAGAAGAAAAAAAAUCAUAUUUUUUGUUCUUUUAGUUUAUUAGACCAACAAUAAUAACAGGCAAAGUGGUUGUAAAGUUUAGCUUUUGCAAGAGUGGAAAUUGUCUGCAAUUUUUGCUUUUACAAGUGUACAAUUUUUUUAGGACAAAAAAAAAGAAAUUAAAAAUUUGAAAACUUUAUGAGAAAGAAUUUUGAAUCUUUAGAAAGAAACAUCACUGAAUCUUGAGAAGGAUUUAUGUGCCCCAGGGGUAUGUGCACCGAUCCAAUAAAAUGAUGCUAGAUAAGAAACGCGAGUCCACGCAGGCUUAUGUGGAUUGUUUAAUUGGAUGGACCUUAGGGGCACAUAAUUUUUUUCCAUGAAUUUUGGUUUUUUAUAACUUGAGAAUUUCAAAAUAAAAAUUCAGUAUACUGUUUUCUUUCUUGGAGUUCAAUAGUUUACAUCUUAUUUUUUCGCUAUACCUUGGAUUUGAUUAGUCGACCCAAUUGCAGGAGUGGCUUUUUUUUAUUUGUAUGGUUUCCUUUUUUGUAAUUGUUGAUCAUUGAUUGUCAGAUUUGGUAAACAAGUGUUGUGGCGCCAGAUUGUGAAGAAGAAAAAACAGUUGGGGAAGGCCAUACUAUUUGUGGAUUUGUCGUGUACAGGUUGGAAAAAGGUCGCAUGGGAUGAAUUCGACACUAAGGCCGGCGUUAAGGUUAGAAUAAUUCAAACGUCACACGAAAGAUCAAAGGCGGGAACAGUGACUGUGAACGACGCGAUUGUAUAAGGCGAGAAGCGGCAGGUGGGUUUUUAAUAUUAGAAGCUGGAUCUGGAUCUGGAUCCGGGUGGGAACAGAGAUGACGCCCGCAAACCCAGGAUUAGUCACAAGUCAAGACAGGUCCUUCUUCUAUUAUUGUUAUAGUUAUUUCUUUUUUAAAAGUAAAUAAUGGGGGAGGCCAGGCCUGCUCAUGCUCCUACUCCAACUCCAUCGAUAGUAGAUUCUCUCUUUUGUACCAGUAUAAAAUAGAGAAUCGUUGUCUAUAUAUUAGAGAAAGAUGUUCGAGUAAAAAAAUUAAAUAUGGAUACUCUCACUUGAAUAUUGUCCGUCGUAUUCGCUCCUAUAACUGUGUUUUGUAAUUUUGCAUCACAGUAAAGUUGUUCAAAAAAUUAUUGAUUAUUCA
Malania oleifera is the source of this 4898-nucleotide RNA transcript. It is a transcript of the gene named pentatricopeptide repeat-containing protein At2g13600-like, with no coding region annotated. Lineage: Eukaryota; Viridiplantae; Streptophyta; Magnoliopsida; Santalales; Ximeniaceae. The transcript has 7 exons. The record is from RefSeq and is a predicted model, not a curated record.